GCAAGCAAAUCCUCUUGUUGGUUUUCGACUCUGAUGGACUAAAGUAGAGAAGUGGUGUCAUGUUCCUUUUUCGUCGUGUUCCUUCUUACCCGAGUAGCUGGAACUAAUUCAAUACCAGUUGAUCUUGCUGAGGGAAUUCGGUAUCGUGAAGAUGGUUUACGUUUAGUUGUGGAGACUCUUCCAGGCUCUGCAAAGACUUGACAUCUGUACCAUUUCUUAUAGCAAACUACACUUAAAGUAAAUGUCAAAAUUUUCCAGCCAGAAAAACGGAGAUGUCUGUCAAUGUUUGUUGGCCUAAUAAACACCGGGUGAAGUAUGUAGUCUUAAACGUUUAAAGUUUAUUUUGGUUUACAGGCAGUGGACUGGAAUAGCUGAGACCCUGUUAUUCAAGAACUCCGGUGUUCGUUGUCAUUAAUACUAAAUUUUUAAUAGGUGAGACAGGAGCCUGGUGUUACUGAUAUACUACUGCACUUAAGCCUAAA
Macrobrachium nipponense is the source of this 482-nucleotide long non-coding RNA. RefSeq lists it as uncharacterized. NCBI's taxonomy places the organism in Eukaryota, Metazoa, Arthropoda, Malacostraca, Decapoda, Palaemonidae. The record is from RefSeq and is a predicted model, not a curated record. The transcript has 3 exons.